Molecule: small nuclear RNA, 104 nt
Filed under: Castor canadensis (American beaver)
Lineage: Eukaryota; Metazoa; Chordata; Mammalia; Rodentia; Castoridae
Source: RNAcentral
AUGCUCACUCUUGCAGCACAUAUACUAAAACUGGAAUGAUAUAGCGAUUAGCAUGGCCCCUGCACAAGGAUGACAUGCAAAUUCGUGAAAUGAAUUCAUAAAUG